UGAUGUAGCUCAGUCGGUAGAGCAGUUCAUUCGUAAUGAACGGGUCGUAGGUUCGAUUCCUAUCAUCA
RNAcentral lists this transfer RNA (68 nucleotides) under pig gut metagenome. It matches the Rfam family "tRNA". Rfam says of the family: Transfer RNA (tRNA) molecules are approximately 80 nucleotides in length. Their secondary structure includes four short double-helical elements and three loops (D, anti-codon, and T loops). The record is from RNAcentral.